This 253-nucleotide ribosomal RNA is filed under the name uncultured bacterium. Its description in RNAcentral is "partial 16S ribosomal RNA". It matches the Rfam family "Bacterial small subunit ribosomal RNA", at positions 524 to 776 of the family's 1533-position model. The record is from RNAcentral.
UACGUAGGGUGCAAGCGUUAAUCGGAAUUACUGGGCGUAAAGGGCUCGUAGGCGGCCAACUAAGUCAGACGUGAAAUCCCCAGGCUCAACCUGGGAACUGCGUCUGAUACUGGAUGGCUUGAAUUCGGGAGAGGGAUGCAGAAUUCCAGGUGUAGCGGUGAAAUGCGUAGAUAUCUGGAGGAAUACCGGUGGCGAAGGCGGCAUCCUGGACCGACAUUGACGCUGAUGAGCGAAAGCUAAGGGAGCAAACGGG